Molecule: transfer RNA, 69 nt
Filed under: Marmota monax (woodchuck)
Lineage: Eukaryota; Metazoa; Chordata; Mammalia; Rodentia; Sciuridae
Description: tRNA.Ala
Rfam family: tRNA
About the family: Transfer RNA (tRNA) molecules are approximately 80 nucleotides in length.
Source: RNAcentral
GGUUAUAGCUCAGUGUUAGAGGGCUUGCCUAGCAUGCAUGAGGCUCUGGGUUUGAUCCCAGUACCACCA